CGGUGUGAUCAUACCAGCAUUGAUGCACAGAAUCCCAUCAGAACUCCGCAGUCAAGCAUGCUCGGGCGAGAGUAGUACUGGGAUGGGUGACCUCCGUGGAAGUCCUCGUGUUGCACACC
This is a ribosomal RNA of Cephalotus follicularis, 119 nucleotides long. The record is from Rfam. NCBI's taxonomy places the organism in Eukaryota, Viridiplantae, Streptophyta, Magnoliopsida, Oxalidales, Cephalotaceae.